Molecule: ribosomal RNA, 223 nt
Filed under: uncultured bacterium
Lineage: Bacteria
Description: partial 16S ribosomal RNA
Rfam family: Bacterial small subunit ribosomal RNA
Source: RNAcentral
ACGCUCGACACCUACGGGAGACAGCAGUAGGGAAUCUUCCACAAUGGGCGCAAGCCUGAUGGAGCAACACCGCGUGAGUGAAGAAGGGUUUCGGCUCGUAAAGCUCUGUUGUUGGAGAAGAACGUGCGUGAGAGUAACUGUUCACGCAGUGACGGUAUCCAACCAGAAAGUCACGGCUAACUACGUGCCAGAAGCCGCGGUAAUCUGAGCGGGCUGGCAAGGC